RNAcentral lists this unclassified non-coding RNA (282 nucleotides) under plant metagenome. RNAcentral describes it as "partial contains small subunit ribosomal RNA, internal transcribed spacer 1, and 5.8S ribosomal RNA". The record is from RNAcentral.
UUUCCGUAGGUGAACCUGCGGAAGGAUCAUUGUCGAAACCUGCCCAGCAGAACGACCCGCGAACUUGUAUAAACAACCGGGGGCGGGGGGCGUUCUCGCCCCGUGCCCCCGAACGGCGGGGAGACACUCGUGCCUUCUUGCCGAACAACGAACCCCAGCGCGGUCUGCGCCAAGGAACUUCAACUAAAGAGUGCCUCCGGUCGCCUCGGAAACGGCGUGCGUGCCGGGGGCGAAUCUUGUGCAAAACCAUAACGACUCUCGGCAACGGAUAUCUCGGCUCUC